CACUUUGUGAUUCAUGACUGGGGUGAAGUCGUAACAAGGUAACCGUAGGGGAACCUGCGGUUGGAUUACCUCCUUA
RNAcentral lists this ribosomal RNA (76 nucleotides) under Salmonella enterica subsp. enterica serovar Kentucky. Its description in RNAcentral is "partial 16S ribosomal RNA". It matches the Rfam family "Bacterial small subunit ribosomal RNA", at positions 1458 to 1533 of the family's 1533-position model. Lineage: Bacteria; Pseudomonadati; Pseudomonadota; Gammaproteobacteria; Enterobacterales; Enterobacteriaceae. The record is from RNAcentral.